This 888-nucleotide ribosomal RNA is filed under the name Scinax perpusillus (Bandeirantes snouted treefrog). RNAcentral's name for it is "partial 16S ribosomal RNA". It matches the Rfam family "Bacterial large subunit ribosomal RNA", at positions 184 to 1907 of the family's 2925-position model. Lineage: Eukaryota; Metazoa; Chordata; Amphibia; Anura; Hylidae. The record is from RNAcentral.
UUCAAACAACUAAAACAUUUUUAAAAUUAAGUAAAGGAGAUUGAAAAACUCAACGGAGCGACAAAAAUAGUACCGCAAGGGAAAGAUGAAAUAAAAAUGAAACAAAAUUCAAGCACGAAAAAGUAGAGAUUCCCCUCGUACCUUUUGCAUCAUGGUUCAACUAGUCUAAUCAAGCAAAAAGCAUUUUAGUUUGACCCCCCGAAACUAAGCGAGCUACUUCAGGAUAGCUUUAUGAGCAAACCCGUCUCUGUCGCAAAAGAGUGGGGCGAUCCCCAAGUAGUGGUGACAAGCCUAACGAGCUUAGUGAUAGCUGGUUACUCAAGAAAAGGAUUUCAGUUCAACCUAAAGCUUUCCCAAUUUGUGAAAAUACCUUUUAUGGCUUUAGAGUAAUUCAAGUAAGGUACAGCCUACUUGAAACAGGAUACAACCUCAACUGCCGGGUAAAUUUUAAACUCCUUAUCACAAUCAAGUAGGCCUAAAAGCAGCCACCUUCACUAAAAGCGUCAAAGCUUAUUUGUGACCCUCAACUAAUUCCUUAAAUUCCCCUUAACCCUCUAACAGUAUUGAGUAAUUCUAUAUACUUAUAGAACUUAUAAUGUUAAAACUAGUAACAAGAAGUAAACCUUCUCUUUAAUGUAAGUGUAAAUCAGACAGGAUAACCCGCUGAUAAUUAACGUCUAUGAGCCCACAUUAGUAACCCUGCAAGAAAGCCCUAAUAUUUCCUACGUUAACCUGACACAAGAACAUUUCAAGAAAGAUUUAAAGAAAAAGAAGGAACUCGGCAAACCAUUGACCCCGCCUGUUUACCAAAAACAUCGCCUCUUGAAUAAGUAUAAGAGGUCCCGCCUGCCCAGUGACCCCAGUUCAACGGCCGCGGUAUCCUAACCG